AUUGAACGCUGGCGGCAGGCCUAACACAUGCCAGUCGAGCGGAUGAAGGAGGCUUGCUCCUGGCUUAAGCUACCGACGGACGGGUAAUUAACAGGAAUAUGACCGGUCGAGGGGGAUAACGUCCGGUCACGGGCCCUAAUACCACAUCCGAUCUUAUGGAGAACCGGGGGGUUCAUCAGACCUAACGGUUUUAGCUGACCCUGGGUCGGAUUAGCUAGUUGGUGGGGUAAAGGCCUACCAAGGCGACGAACCGUAGCUGAUCUGAGAGGCUGAUCAGUCACACUGGAACUGAGACACGGUCCAGACUCCUACGGGAGGCAGCAGUGGGGAAUAUUGGACAAUGGGCGAAAGCCUGAUCCAGCCAUGCCGCGUGUGUGAAGAAGGUCUUCGGAUUGUAAAGCACUUUAAGUUGGGAGGAAGAGCAGUGAGUGUAUACCUUGCUGUUUUGACGUUACCAACAGAAUAAGCACCGGCUAACUUCGUG
Molecule: ribosomal RNA, 484 nt
Filed under: uncultured bacterium
Lineage: Bacteria
Description: partial 16S ribosomal RNA
Rfam family: Bacterial small subunit ribosomal RNA
Source: RNAcentral